CGCGCAUCGGUCCCCGCUGAAAACCGCGCGGAAACCGUUGCAGGGACCGGUUUCGUUACGAAUAACGAGUUCAAUCGCGGGGCAAUCGGUCGGAUGGCGCUCGUAUCGCCGGCGCCUACCCGCAGGAUGUAUUCCAGUCGAAUACCAACGCGUUGUUCAAUCCGUUUGCGAAAAAUUACAGUCCGUCAAUUCGGAAACCCCACGGACGGUUUUUGUCGUAAAGCUCGUUCCGACCGCCUCGACUGGGUACGCGGUACGUUCCGUUCGCGAUGG
Cinara cedri is the source of this 273-nucleotide non-coding RNA. The record is from the annotation of a GenBank genome assembly. Lineage: Eukaryota; Metazoa; Arthropoda; Insecta; Hemiptera; Aphididae.